GAGUUGGCCGAGUGGUUGAAAGCACCAGACUGAUAAUCUGGUAGGGGGGAAACCCCUCAUGGGUUCGAAUCCCAUACUCUCC
This 82-nucleotide transfer RNA is filed under the name marine eukaryotic metagenome. It matches the Rfam family "tRNA". Rfam says of the family: Transfer RNA (tRNA) molecules are approximately 80 nucleotides in length. Their secondary structure includes four short double-helical elements and three loops (D, anti-codon, and T loops). The record is from RNAcentral.